Molecule: ribosomal RNA, 253 nt
Filed under: uncultured prokaryote
Description: partial 16S ribosomal RNA
Rfam family: Bacterial small subunit ribosomal RNA
Source: RNAcentral
GACGAGGGAUCCUAGCGUUGUUCGGAAUCAUUGGGCGUAAAGCGGGUGUAGGUGGGCUUCUAAGUCAGUUGUGAAAUCCCAGGGCUCAACCCUGGAAGUGCAUUUGAUACUGGAAGUCUUGAGUGUGGUAGAGGUUACUGGAAUUGUUGGUGUAGUGGUGAAAUACGUAGAUAUCAACAGGAAUACCGGAGGCGAAGGCGGGUAACUGGGCCAACACUGACACUGAGACCCGAAAGCGUGGGGAUCAAACAGG